This 996-nucleotide ribosomal RNA is filed under the name Streptomyces sp. SG 25. RNAcentral's name for it is "bacterial SSU rRNA". It matches the Rfam family "Bacterial small subunit ribosomal RNA", at positions 60 to 1074 of the family's 1533-position model. Lineage: Bacteria; Bacillati; Actinomycetota; Actinomycetes; Kitasatosporales; Streptomycetaceae. The record is from RNAcentral.
AGUCGACGAUGAAGCCCUUCGGGGUGGAUUAGUGGCGAACGGGUGAGUAACACGUGGGCAAUCUGCCCUUCACUCUGGGACAAGCCCUGGAAACGGGGUCUAAUACCGGAUAUCACUCUCGCAGGCAUCUGUGAGGGUCGAAAGCUCCGGCGGUGAAGGAUGAGCCCGCGGCCUAUCAGCUUGUUGGUGAGGUAACGGCUCACCAAGGCGACGACGGGUAGCCGGCCUGAGAGGGCGACCGGCCACACUGGGACUGAGACACGGCCCAGACUCCUACGGGAGGCAGCAGUGGGGAAUAUUGCACAAUGGGCGAAAGCCUGAUGCAGCGACGCCGCGUGAGGGAUGACGGCCUUCGGGUUGUAAACCUCUUUCAGCAGGGAAGAAGCGAAAGUGACGGUACCUGCAGAAGAAGCGCCGGCUAACUACGUGCCAGCAGCCGCGGUAAUACGUAGGGCGCAAGCGUUGUCCGGAAUUAUUGGGCGUAAAGAGCUCGUAGGCGGUCUGUCACGUCGGAUGUGAAAGCCCGGGGCUUAACCCCGGGUCUGCAUUCGAUACGGGCAGACUAGAGUGUGGUAGGGGAGAUCGGAAUUCCUGGUGUAGCGGUGAAAUGCGCAGAUAUCAGGAGGAACACCGGUGGCGAAGGCGGAUCUCUGGGCCAUUACUGACGCUGAGGAGCGAAAGCGUGGGGAGCGAACAGGAUUAGAUACCCUGGUAGUCCACGCCGUAAACGGUGGGAACUAGGUGUUGGCGACAUUCCACGUCGUCGGUGCCGCAGCUAACGCAUUAAGUUCCCCGCCUGGGGAGUACGGCCGCAAGGCUAAAACUCAAAGGAAUUGACGGGGGCCCGCACAAGCAGCGGAGCAUGUGGCUUAAUUCGACGCAACGCGAAGAACCUUACCAAGGCUUGACAUACACCGGAAACGUCUGGAGACAGGCGCCCCCUUGUGGUCGGUGUACAGGUGGUGCAUGGCUGUCGUCAGCUCGUGUCGUGAGAUG